RNAcentral lists this ribosomal RNA (254 nucleotides) under uncultured bacterium. RNAcentral describes it as "partial 16S ribosomal RNA". It matches the Rfam family "Bacterial small subunit ribosomal RNA", at positions 524 to 776 of the family's 1533-position model. The record is from RNAcentral.
GACAGAGGGUGCAAACGUUGUUCGGAUUUACUGGGCGUAAAGCGCGUGUAGGCGGCUUGGCAAGUUGAAUGUGAAAGCCCACGGCUCAACCGUGGAAGCGCAUCCAAAAACUGCUUCGCUCGAGUCUCGGAGAGGAAGGUGGAAUGCUUGGUGUAGAGGUGAAAUUCGUAGAUAUCAAGCAGAACACCUGCGGCGAAGGCGGCCUUCUGGACGAUGACUGACGCUGAGACGCGAAAGCGUGGGGAGCAAACAGG